Long non-coding RNA from Paramisgurnus dabryanus, 494 nucleotides. RefSeq lists it as uncharacterized. The record is from RefSeq and is a predicted model, not a curated record. Lineage: Eukaryota; Metazoa; Chordata; Actinopteri; Cypriniformes; Cobitidae.
GAACCCAGGCAGUAGCGUCGUUUCACUAUGUUUCCAUCACCUGGUCUCAGAUUUCCAGCAAAAAUGUGAUUUUCCCAUUUAUUGGAAUGCUGUGCAGGUUGUACCUUGCAGCCAUCCAUUACAAUGUCACCAAGCCAUAACAAAAGCAGGAGAGGGAAAGUACAAGUUAUGUGGAUGAUGUGAUCAGACUUGUGUUGGAUGAGGUAUUUGAAGAUAAGCUGAAGGAAAUCCCGAUUCCAAUGGACCUGGCAUCACAGUUUGAGAGACCUUCAAAGGAGGACGUGAUUGCAUGCCAUCUCACGCGCUUCAGUGCAGAGGUCGUCAGAAGCCAACAUACUGACCAGUUUGAUCAGGAAGCUCCAAGCAAAUCUAGAGAACAACACACGACAGGAUGAUAACCCUGUGUCGCCUCAGAUAGCACCAGCUGACAAAGCUUCAAUAUGCCAUUUAUCUUUAUAGAUAUCUGUAAGAAGUGAAUUGAAAUUUUUUUGAGA